Molecule: long non-coding RNA, 712 nt
Filed under: Homo sapiens (human)
Lineage: Eukaryota; Metazoa; Chordata; Mammalia; Primates; Hominidae
Description: HSALNT0277162
Source: RNAcentral
GAAGUGGGUUUUAUCAUACCCUCCUUAUUAUUACCCAUCCCAGUCCCUUGAUCUCUUACCCCUCACUGUCUUCUCCACUAUCCUAGAAAUAGGAAUGUUGUACUUUAAGUUUGUUUAGGGACAGGAAUGAUGUGGAACUUUAAAAGAGUUGAAUAUGAGAAAGAACUAGAGAUGAAAUAUUUAAAGAAAAAUAAGAGUUCAUAUUGCUUUCUGUUGUUUAUGGUGCUUGAGUAAGUUUUUCUUUUCUUUUUCCUGAGGAUUGAGCAAGACAUGCCGCCUGGAUGGUCAGAAGAGAGGGUGCUCAGAAACCACUGAUCCAGACACAAGCAGCUUCAGGACCUAAAGUGAAGAACACUGAAGAUCCCAGGAAGGAAUAGUGCAAAGAAGGAGAAGAGAGAGCUAUGAAAUAACAGAAUACAGAGCAAAAUCCCCCUGCCUUUGGGGAAAGAAUCAGCCAUCAUGGACUCUCUGGCUUGGGCCACAGUAUUGCAACCAGCAUUUGGCCUUCAUCUUCCAAUAUCUUUGGGGACAGAAUUUAUCUGUGCAUUCCACAGCAUCAGGUGCCAGUGGGGUAGCAGUAUAUGAGAAUGAAGCGAAGCAAAUAUAACUUCCAUGAAGUGUGCAUCAAUUUUGUAUGUCACUGUGUUCAAAGUGCUUUACCACACAUUAUGUCUUGCCCCAUAGCAAUGCAACAGAAUAAAUUAAAUUUUAC